CCCCCAGUACACAGCUGGGAGGGCUGCAGUUUUUUCAUGUUAGCCAGAAAGGCAGAGACCUUUUUUUUAAAAGGUGUGCUUGUCUAUGCCAAAGGAAGCCAUUUUCACAAGUGAAACAGAAGACUCAGCAGAAGAGAGUGGGGGAAGGAGGGUCCUUGCUUCUCCUAAAUACCUGGACCAAAUGUGGGAGCUUGCAUAAAGGAGGUGCUCUAGGAAAGACUAAACAUUGGCUGCUUGGGAGCUAGAAGGGAAGCUGCUAAUAGGAGUCGGGGCUAAACAUUCAAGAUCAUAGAAUGAAGCUGAACUCCAGCCUGUGUUUCCUGAAUCCUCAUGUCAGCAUGAACGUGAGACUCCACUGUAUCCCACUGUUGAUGAGCUGUGGAGACUCCCUCCUCUAUUCAUGGAACCAGAAGGUCACUCUGUGUGGAGAAAGUCUCCCUGACUUCAUCUCUGAGGGACUGGAGUGGGGAAGACACAGGUUCCACCCCUUGCAGAGAGGGUGGGUUUGGCAGGGUUGUCUUUCAGGAGAUAUAUAUGUAGUGCUUCACAGCUGUGGGGGUCAUGUCAGGGCACAGAGCUCCUCCUAGCUCUGCACUGCACAAAAGAGCCAUCGAGUCAAGCCCAUUGUAUAUUAUAAAUAUUGUGAUAAUUACCCUUGAGAACCUAAAAAAUAAAUGCAAAUUUGUCAGCUUCCUUGAAGAUGUAAGCAAGAAAGUACUGAUGUUGGUUUGAAAUCAAAAGUGUAUUGUACUUAUUUUUGUGGAUACCUGAACGAGAGCAGACACUAAAGGAAGGUUAACUUUUUAUUAGAUUGUCUGGAACCCACAAUAUAUUUGUAAUGUAAUUAAACACAAUUCUAGCCACAUUUUACGGGGCACUGGUAGGUGUUGAGUCUCACAGAAUUCUUAUUUCAGUGUGGGUGU
Molecule: long non-coding RNA, 923 nt
Organism: Chelonia mydas (Green sea turtle)
Lineage: Eukaryota; Metazoa; Chordata; Testudines; Cheloniidae
Exons: 3
Source: RefSeq, a predicted model, not a curated record